GUGGUGGCUCAGUGGUAGAGUGCCUGCCUAGCAUGUGCGAGGCACUGGGUUCACUUCUCAGCACCACA
RNAcentral lists this transfer RNA (68 nucleotides) under Marmota monax (woodchuck). Its description in RNAcentral is "tRNA.Ala". The record is from RNAcentral. Lineage: Eukaryota; Metazoa; Chordata; Mammalia; Rodentia; Sciuridae.